AUUGAACGCUGGCGGCAGGCCUAACACAUGCAAGUCGAACGAGUGGCGGACGGGUGAGUAAUGUCUGGGAAACUGCCUGAUGGAGGGGGAUAACUACUGGAAACGGUAGCUAAUACCGCAUACCAUCGGAUGUGCCCAGAUGGGAUUAGCUAGUAGGUGGGGUAACGUCUCACCUAGGCGACGAUCCCUAGCUGGUCUGAGAGGAGGACCAGCCACACGGGAACGGGGACACGGUCCAGACUCCUACGGGAGGCAGCAGUGGGGAAUAUUGCACAAGGGGCGAAAGCCUGAUGCAGCCAGGCCGGGUGUAUGAAGAAGGCCUUCGGGUUGUAAAGUACUUUCAGCGGGGAGGCGUUACCCGCAGAAGAAGCACCGGCUAACUCCGUGCCAGCAGCCGCGGUAAUAC
This 406-nucleotide ribosomal RNA is filed under the name uncultured bacterium. RNAcentral describes it as "partial 16S ribosomal RNA". It matches the Rfam family "Bacterial small subunit ribosomal RNA", at positions 29 to 526 of the family's 1533-position model. The record is from RNAcentral.